Molecule: ribosomal RNA, 492 nt
Filed under: uncultured bacterium
Lineage: Bacteria
Description: partial 16S ribosomal RNA
Rfam family: Bacterial small subunit ribosomal RNA
Source: RNAcentral
AGUGAACGCUGGCGGUAGGCCUAACACAUGCAAGUCGAACGGCAGCACAGUAAGAGCUUGCUCUUACGGGUGGCGAGUGGCGGACGGGUGAGGAAUACAUCGGAAUCUACUUUUUCGUGGGGGAUAACGUAGGGAAACUUACGCUAAUACCGCAUACGACCUACGGGUGAAAGCAGGGGAUCUUCGGACCUUGCGCGAUUGAAUGAGCCGAUGUCGGAUUAGCUAGUUGGCGGGGUAAAGGCCCACCAAGGCGACGAUCCGUAGCUGGUCUGAGAGGAUGAUCAGCCACACUGGAACUGAGACACGGUCCGGACUCCUACGGGAGGCAGCAGUGGGGAAUAUUGGGCAAUGGGCGCAAGCCUGAUCCAGCCAUACCGCGUGGGUGAAGAAGGCCUUCGGGUUGUAAAGCCCUUUUGUUGGGAAAGAAAAGCAGCAGGUUAAUACCCCGCUGUUCUGACGGUACCCAAAGAAUAAGCACCGGCUAACUUCGUG